GGCAGCACCUAUGCCAAAUGCUAAAAUUUGGAAUGAUACAGAGAAGAUUAGCAUGGCCCCUUGCACAAGGAUGACAGGAAAAUUGAUGAAGUGUUCCGUAGUUGU
Small nuclear RNA from Suricata suricatta (meerkat), 105 nucleotides. The record is from Ensembl. Lineage: Eukaryota; Metazoa; Chordata; Mammalia; Carnivora; Herpestidae.